This 317-nucleotide long non-coding RNA is filed under the name Homo sapiens (human). RNAcentral's name for it is "HSALNT0209781". The record is from RNAcentral. Lineage: Eukaryota; Metazoa; Chordata; Mammalia; Primates; Hominidae.
UUGAGUGCCCCUCUAAAUCUGACUACCCCUAAAUCUGACUAAGCAAAGGGAAGAAUUUGGAGUGGAUAAAAUGUAGAAAUUCAGAGGAAGAGAUUUUACGAGGUGAAAUUCAGACGUCUGAGGAGGAGGUGCUAUUUGGUGGUGUUGGGAUCUGAAUUCAGAGGAGAUUCUCUGUGGGCUUGGGAUCCAGAUCUCUGAAGAGGGAGCAUUCUCUGGAUGGUGCUGAUCUCUCUGGAGGAGGAAGAAAUAAUGAGACUGGUUCUGGAAGUUAACAAGAAGCAAAAGAUGAGAUCCCAUCCUUCCUCUAAAGAAGGUAA